RNAcentral lists this unclassified non-coding RNA (1796 nucleotides) under Hevea brasiliensis (rubber tree). Lineage: Eukaryota; Viridiplantae; Streptophyta; Magnoliopsida; Malpighiales; Euphorbiaceae. The record is from RNAcentral.
AAAAGAUUCUUGCCUUUUGCCUAGAUUAAUGCUUUCCAUUAGGAUAAUGGGAACUUGGUCCAUAUCUCUUUGGUUUCUUCCCCUGUUCUCUUUACUAGCUUCUGGUAACUCAUCUGCCCAUUUCAUACCAAUAAGAUUCCCAACUCGAAUCACUCAGUUUCAGGCAGAGAAGAAGGUCUCUGUUUCUACUCCAAAUGGGUUGUACAAAGAGAAAUUCUUCACUCAAGUACUUGAUCACUUCAAUUUCAACCCCAAGAGCUACCAAACAUUUCAGCAGAGAUAUUUGAUUAAUGACACUUUUUGGGGGGGGCCGGAGAAGAAUGCUCCAAUCUUCUUAUACACAGGAAAUGAGGGAGAGAUUGAAUGGUUUGCUCAAAAUACAGGAUUCAUGUUUGACAAUGCACCUCGCUUCAAAGCCCUUCUUGUCUUUAUUGAGCAUAGAUUCUAUGGAAAAUCCAUGCCUUUUGGAGGUAAUAAAGAUGUUGCUUACAGCAAUUCAAGUACUCUUGGUUACCUGACUUCAACUCAGGCCCUGGCAGAUUAUGCCACUCUUAUCACUGAUCUAAAGAAGAAUUUGUCUGCAACUGACUCCCCUGUGGUGGUUUUUGGAGGUUCCUAUGGUGGAAUGUUGGCUGCUUGGUUCAGACUGAAAUAUCCUCAUGUUACCAUUGGAGCCUUGGCAUCUUCUGCACCAAUUCUUGGCUUUGUGAACUUGAUUUCUCCAUAUAGCUUCACCAGAAUUAUCACUCAAGAUUUUAGAAAUGAGAGUGAGAACUGCUACAAAGUGAUAAAAGGAUCAUGGCAACAAAUUGAAGACACAGCAAGUCAAAAGGGAGGACUUGAAAAGCUGAGAAAGUCUUUUAAAAUAUGCAAGAAUUAUAUUAGUGAAGGAGCUUUGGAGAGUUGGCUUUCCACUGCGUGGACCUACACAGCCAUGACUGAUUAUCCAACCCCAUCCAAUUUUUUAAACCCCAUGCCAGCCUAUCCAGUGAAACAGAUGUGCAAGGCGAUCGAUGAUCCAACGACCGGAAAUGAUACAUUUGCGAAACUACACAGUGCGGCUAGUGUUUACCGUAACUACACUGGAACCGCCACGUGUUUCGAUCUCGACGAUAAUUCUGAUCCUCACUUCCUCGGUGGAUGGACUUGGCAGGCAUGCACAGAGAUGAUACUUCCAACAGGAGGCAGCGAUGAGGAAAGCAUAUUUCCAGCUUCCGAGUGGGACUACAAUGAUAGGGCCACUUUUUGCAAAUCUUACUUUGAUAUUGAGCCUCGACCCGACUGGAUUCCCAUCGAGUUUGGUGGCCAUAAUAUUAAGAGGGUGUUGAGAAGGUUUGGAAGUAAUAUCAUAUUCUUUAAUGGGUUAAGAGACCCUUGGAGUGGUGGAGGGGUCCUAAGUGAUAUAUCCAAGAGCAUAGUUGCCAUAGUAGCAGAAGAAGGAGCUCAUCAUGUAGACUUGAGAUUUGCAACUAGUGAAGAUCCAACAUGGCUUCAAGAAGUGAGGAAAAGAGAGAUCAAGAUCAUUGCUCAAUGGCUUUCUGAGUACUACCAGGAUUUGGCCCUCACUUAUUCCUAAGUCUUUAUAUCAACCCAUGGAGACACUAUAAUACAACACCAACAACUAAAUCCUUGAUUUCAAAUUAGUCAAAAUACUUGAUUAUAUAAAAUUUGUUCUCCGUCGUUUAUUUCUGAUUCACACCAAAUUUACGUUAAUAUAUUUCAAUAUUAUAUUUGGAGACGGAGAUUGCAAUUAGGGGUGUACAUUAUUUCGUUAUAAUUAAAUAAUCAAAUCGAAU